RNAcentral lists this ribosomal RNA (260 nucleotides) under uncultured prokaryote. RNAcentral describes it as "partial 16S ribosomal RNA". It matches the Rfam family "Bacterial small subunit ribosomal RNA", at positions 524 to 784 of the family's 1533-position model. The record is from RNAcentral.
CACGUAGGGGCGAGCGUUGUCCGGAAUUACUGGGCGUAAAGGGCGCGCAGGCUGUUAUGCGAGUCUGCUGUGAAAUGUACCGGCUCAACCGGUGCCUUGCGGCGGAUACUGCAUAGCUGGAGUACUGGAGAGGGAAGUGGAAUUCCCAGUGUAGCGGUGAAAUGCGUAGAUAUCGGGAGGAACACCGGUGGCGAAGGCGGCUUUCUGGCCAGUUACUGACGCUCAUGCGCGAAAGCUGGGGUAGCGAACCGGAUUAGAUA